AACUAACCAUAUCAGGAUCGCCUCUCUCAUUUUCAGAUAUCUUUGUUUAACUAUAAACGAGUUUUUAUUUUAAAAUUCAUAUUGACAGCGUCAAAAUGACGCAUUGAAUAUCAAAAUGACGUGACAAAAGUUUAAAAUAAUAGGUCACAAAAAUUACAACGAAUAUAAACGAUGUCUAGACUAACAAUGAAACUAUGUUACUAAAGCAAAUUAGUAUAUUUAGUCAAUAAACCAAGCCUCAAACAUACCGCGGUGAUAGACAAGAGACUUAUAAGAAUGAUUUGGUUACUAUGGAUAUUAGCCUUUUUCUUUGAAGUUGUGCUUAUUCUAAUGUACAAUGAAGCUUUGAAAAUGGAAACUUUGUACACGUUUACGAAGAACGUUGAGCGCUUAGUACAGGAGUUGUCAGUUUAUUUCGAGCCCUGUCACUACCCAAUCGACUUGAUAGCGCGCCUCUGCACCCAUAAAACUCUUAAACAAAACUAAUUUAUUUAGUUCUGUCUAAGUGUUUUAGAUACAAUCACAUGUUUUAGGAUUGGGUUCUUUUUAACAAUGUUAAAUUUAUUUGAAUAGAAUUUCCAAUAAUAAAUCUUCAAUAAGUUACUUUUAUGCUGUUUCUGUGGCAACGCAUUUUCCAGGUAAAACCUUAAACUUUUUAUUUAAUUAACGAAUUUUCAUUUAUUUCUUUCAAUUUAUUUAAUAAUUUUUCUUUUCAGAAAUAUUAUUGAAAUCACUCGUAAUUCAAUUUGUAAAAAUAGAUGGCGCUAUUUUAAAAAUGUAUCAAAAGGCUUUUACUAAAGCUAACGGUGAUUAAAUAUUUUACGAUUUCUCGGUA
Long non-coding RNA from Papilio xuthus (Asian swallowtail), 835 nucleotides. RefSeq lists it as uncharacterized. NCBI's taxonomy places the organism in Eukaryota, Metazoa, Arthropoda, Insecta, Lepidoptera, Papilionidae. The transcript has 3 exons. The record is from RefSeq and is a predicted model, not a curated record.